Long non-coding RNA from Danio rerio (zebrafish), 1912 nucleotides. The record is from Ensembl. NCBI's taxonomy places the organism in Eukaryota, Metazoa, Chordata, Actinopteri, Cypriniformes, Danionidae.
UAUAAAUUGCAUUUAAAACAGCUUUUAUCAUUAUUUACAUUUCUUGAGCUGAUCAUAUUUAAUUUUAUAUAAUAUUAAAGUCUCUUUAAGUGUAUUCUAUAUAGUCUUUGGUAUUUGCAUUUAUCUUCAGUCAUUUCACUUUUAAAAGUAAACACUGAGGCAGAGAACACUUUUAGAACAUUUAGAAUCUGAUGAUGCGUACAGAAUCUCUACAUCACACCAGAGUACCUGCAGCAGACACAUUUAACAUUGUUGGUUUACAGUAGCAAGAACGAUCGCUGAUUCUGUCCGAGCGAACAAACUGUGUCUAUAUGGCGAACAACGAACUGAAUAUGGAGAUCACGAGUACAACUGUGAUGGAGAAGCCAAAGAAAAACCGGCGCUUAAAACUGCCCUCUUUCCUGAAACCUGCCAGGAAAAACAAGAUCUUCCGAAGGCAGAAAGAGACGCCGCAGUUCAAGCAAACGCCUGACAUUGGCAAUGAUUAUGAGGUGGAGGAGGACGAGGGAGCAACAAAGAGGAAAAAGAGUAAAGUGGCCAAUUUCCUCAAAGCUGCCAGAAAACUCUUCAGGAUGUCCUGCUUUGGCCAGACUGAGGAGCAGCUCUCUGACCCUGCAGACUCUGAUGAUGACAUUCUCUGCCCAUCCGAGUCUGACCAGAGUCUGGAGGUUGCUCUUGUCAUCACUCAUAAUCAUGAAGAGAGUUGUGUGAAUGACGACCUAAAGGUGGAUGAGAAAGAUGACAUGAAGACACACAACACAGAGCAUGUCAACAAAGAGGAGGAGGUGGAGGAGAUGAGGAUGAACGAUGAGAAGGACAAGGAGGAAAAGAUUAAGAAGAAGAGGAGGAGAAAGAGAAAUAGCAAGAUGAAGGAGGAGGAGGAAAAGAAAGAGGAGGAGGUGGUGAAAGAAGAGAAGAAGAUAAAAGAGGAGAGUUUGAAAGAAAAUGAAGAGGAGGAGGAGGAUAAGAAUGAAAAAGAGAUAAAAGUAAAGGAGGAGAAGAUGAAAGAUGAUGAGGAGGAGAACAAUGAGGAAGAGAUGAAGAUAAAAGAGGAGAGUUUGAAAGAAAAUGAAGAGGAGGAGGAGGAUAAGAAUGAGAAAGAGAUGAAAGUAAAGCAGGAGAAGAUGAAAGAUGAUGAGGAGGAGAACAAUGAGGAAGAGAUGAAGAUAAAAGAGGAGAGUUUGAAAGAAAAUGAAGAGGAGGAGGAGGAUAAGAAUGAGAAAGAGAUAAAAGUAAAGGAGGAGAAGAUGAAAGAUGAUGAGGAGGAGAACAAUGAGGAAGAGAUGAAGAUAAAAGAGGAGAGUUUGAAAGAAAAUGAAGAGGAGGAGGAGGAUAAGAAUGAGAAAGAGAUGAAAGUAAAGCAGGAGAAGAUGAAAGAUGAGGAGCAGGAAAAUGAAAACAUGAAAAAGAGAAUGAGGAGGAGAAAAAGAAAUAACAGGAUAAAAGAGGAGAAGAAGGAGGAGAAGUUGAUAGAGAAGGAGAUGGAGGUAAAGGAGGAGAGGAUGGAAGAAAAUGAAGAGAAAGAGAUGGAUAAGAAUGAAGAGGAGACGAAGGAGGAAGAAACAGAGGAGGGAGAGGAAGAAAAGCCAAAGGAGGAGAAGAGAAAAAGAAGCAAGAAAAGAGACAGCAGGAAAAGCAGAAGGAUGAUGAGGAGGAGAAGCAAAAGAAGAAGACUGAGGAGAGUGUGAAUGAGAAAGAGAAAGAGAUGCAAAUAAAAAUGUUGAAAAAAAAGUUUCUGGCCUAAAAUGUUAUUGUGUUAAAAACAGUGCCGAACCAAAGAAUUGCAUUCACAACACCAUCAUUUUUGUCAACAAAAACUAUUUGCAAAAAAUACAUUUGUUGUAUGCAAAAGGGGUAAGCACAACACAAAGUUUUAUGUAAACAAAUGUGCAAAAUACUGCACAACACUGAC